UACGGAGGGUGCAAGCGUUGUCCGGAUUUAUUGGGUUUAAAGGGUGCGUAGGCGGCUUUUUAAGUCAGUGGUGAAAGCCUCCAGCUUAACUGGAGAAGUGCCAUUGAUACUGGGAAGCUUGAGUACAGACGAGGUAGGCGGAAUUGACAGUGUAGCGGUGAAAUGCAUAGAUAUUAUCAAGAACACCGAUUGCGAAGGCAGCUUACUAGACUUUAACUGACGCUGAGGCACGAAAGCGUGGGGAGCAAAC
RNAcentral lists this ribosomal RNA (250 nucleotides) under uncultured Cytophagia bacterium. RNAcentral describes it as "partial 16S ribosomal RNA". It matches the Rfam family "Bacterial small subunit ribosomal RNA", at positions 524 to 773 of the family's 1533-position model. Lineage: Bacteria; Pseudomonadati; Bacteroidota; Cytophagia. The record is from RNAcentral.